Molecule: ribosomal RNA, 254 nt
Filed under: uncultured bacterium
Lineage: Bacteria
Description: partial 16S ribosomal RNA
Rfam family: Bacterial small subunit ribosomal RNA
Source: RNAcentral
UACGUAGGGGGCAAGCGUUGCCCGGAUUUAUUGGGCGUAAAGAGCUCGUAGGCGGUUUGGUAAGUCGGAUGUGAAAUCUCCAGGCUCAACCUGGAGGGGUCAUUCGAUACUGCCAUGACUAGAGUUCGGUAGGGGAGUGUGGAAUUCCUGGUGGAGCGGUGAAAUGCGCAGAGAUCAGGAGGAACACCCGUAUCGAAGGCGGCACUCUGGGCCGAUACUGACGCUGAGGAGCGAAAGCGUGGGGAGCGAACAGG